This 497-nucleotide ribosomal RNA is filed under the name uncultured bacterium. RNAcentral's name for it is "partial 16S ribosomal RNA". It matches the Rfam family "Bacterial small subunit ribosomal RNA", at positions 28 to 507 of the family's 1533-position model. The record is from RNAcentral.
GAUGAACGCUGGCGGCGUGCCUAAUACAUGCCAGUCGAGCGAACGGACGAGAAGCUUGCUUUUCUGAUGUUAGCGGCGGACGGGUGAGUAACACGUGGAUAACCUACCUAUAAGACUCGGAUAACUUCGGGAAACCGGAGCUAAUACCGGAUAAUAUUUUGAACCGCAUGGUUCAAAAGUGAAAGACGGUCUUGCUGUCACUUAUAGAUGGAUCCGCGCUGCAUUAGCUAGUUGGUAAGGUAACGGCUUACCAAGGCAACGAUGCAUAGCCGACCUGAGAGGGUGAUCGGCCACACUGGAACUGAGACACGGUCCAGACUCCUACGGGAGGCAGCAGUAGGGAAUCUUCCGCAAUGGGCGAAAGCCUGACGGAGCAACGCCGCGUGAGUGAUGAAGGUCUUCGGAUCGUAAAACUCUGUUAUUAGGGAAGAACAUAUGUGUAAGUAACUGUGCACAUCUUGACGGUACCUAAUCAGAAAGCCACGGCUAACUACGUG